Molecule: ribosomal RNA, 428 nt
Filed under: uncultured bacterium
Lineage: Bacteria
Description: partial 16S ribosomal RNA
Rfam family: Bacterial small subunit ribosomal RNA
Source: RNAcentral
GUGGGGAAUAUUGGGCAAUGGGCGCAAGCCUGACCCAGCAACGCCGCGUGAAGGAAGAAGGCUUUCGGGCUGUAAACUUCUUUUGUCAGGGACGAAGCAAGUGACGGUACCUGACGAAUAAGCCACGGCUAACUACGUGCCAGCAGCCGCGGUAAUACGUAGGUGGCAAGCGUUAUCCGGAUUUACUGGGUGUAAAGGGCGUGUAGGCGGGAAAGCAAGUCAGAUGUGAAAACUGUGGGAUCAACCCAUAGCUUGCAUUUGAAACUGUUUUUCUUGAGUACUGGAGAGGCAGAUGGAAUUCCUAGUGUAGCGGUGAAAUGCGUAGAUAUUAGGAGGAACACCAGUGGCGAAGGCGAUCUGCUGGACAGCAACUGACGCUGAGGCGCGAAAGCGUGGGGAGCAAACAGGAUUAGAAACCCCGGUAGUCC